UAUACGGGUGAAAACUAAUAUCAGAUUGAACGAGGAGUGGACGGAGACUUUUGAGACUCGGUCUAUUUGUCUUCGGUCAACUCUACAAGUAGGCUGAUUUGGAGCGACAAUCUUAGUAAAAGUCCUAAAAGAACAGUAAUGUAUUGUAUACGGUAAGACUUAAUGUCAGACUUUAGUAGAUGAGGAUUCCAAUAAAAGAGAUAUGGGCGUUUGAAUUUGGGUUAUUUUCUGUUGUCUAGAUGUCGGAGUAACAACUUCAGAUAACUGUGAAAAUGGUUAUAUUUGCGGAGAGUCUCAGUCAAAUUCCAUUGUGCUGGUAGGGGAGUGGUGAGCGCGGCAGUCUCACCUACGGUAAUCCACGGUUCGGUUCCCGUUUAACUAAAAUUGAUUUUAGAUCGUAAUUGACCUAUUUGCAUGUUUUGCCUGAAAAAUACGGUCGCCAGUGUUUGCAAAAGAUAUAACGGAACGGAUAUUAUGUGUUCUAGAUAGAAUUGAUAAAAUAAGUCAUUAAAAAUAAUGGCGAGGCAAUGUCGAUGUAAAACGCUAUUUCGCCCAAAAUGAUCUGGUGGAAUAAUGUAUUGAGAUGAGAGUCGUAAUUAAAUAGAUGUAUCAUAGAAGAGAGUUACCUAAAGUUAAAUGGAGGGGAUACCGGAGAGAUACAAUACAAUUCCAGCCUGCCUGGACGUUACGGCUAAUUAUGAAUCAAUUGACAUGAGAAGUUUAACACAAAAACAUGGUACGUUUAAUGUUAGGGUAUAGUAAAUUGAGAAAUUCGGUUGAGUUUACUCUGAUGAUUAGAAUUUAAAACUGAACUCAAUCGGAAUAGGGAAUAUAUAUUUUACAAAGGCGGGCAGAUUUGUGCCUACAGCCAAGCAAAGGAAUUGCUAGACACUCAAUGGGGCUAUAUAGUGCAACGCUUUGGACUAUAAAUUAGGUAAGAAUAGUUUAAUCGUAAGAAGUUGUGAUUGUUUUUCUGAUUAUUGAUCUUUGGUUAAGGUAACACCAGUGAAUUUGAACAAAAAGUAACCUAUUCUAAAAAUGAUCUGAUUUCCGUUCUCGUUGCGGGGAACAAAUGAAAAUUCUUAUCUUAAAGGGAUAGUGCACGGUAAUCACAGUGGUUUGAGUGUAUGACAGUGGGAAAAAAUAUUGUGGGACGACAAUUCAAAGAGAGAAAAAUAAGUUACAUGAAACAUCAAGAGAUUUAAAACGAACGACGUGAAGGGAUCAUAAGAAUUAUUGGGUGUCGUAGGAGUAAAUGUUUGGGUUAAGGGGAUUUCCCUGUUCCCAGAGACAAGGCAUUUUUAAGGCGAGCACUCGCCAAUGCUGGUCUGAGUUGUAAAUUAGACAAGUGAAUAACGUAUUGGGAAUAGAGUUGUAAUUAAAAUACUAAGUCAAAGACGAGACAGGUAUUUAGAGCAAAAUGGUUUCUAAAUGAUAACAAAGAGACAAUUAUGAUUUAUGCCCAUCGAAAAGCUUUUAUAAAAUUGGCGAAUUUAGAGAUGUUGGUUGGGGUGGUAAAUUAUAAUUCAGGAUUUGAACAGAUGUGAAAAAUUAGGUUUGGUUAAUCGAACAAGAAUUAUUUACAAUUCAUUUGAAGUCGCUACGAAUUGGCAGAUUGAGCGCUUGAUGAUGACGUCACUAGCGCGACACUUUUGUCACCAGAAGACUGGGAAUAACGGAGCAAACUGUAUGGCUAUUAGUGUGUGUAUCGAGGCUUCGAGUAAACCUUUCAGAAGUUGAGAUAAAAGUGUUUUGUUUAUUUGUUUAUUGGUUAUAGUCAAUUUUAGGGUUUGAUUUAACUUAGUUGAACAGUGUGUUCUGGCGGGUUUAGGUAGAACUCUUUGUUCCGGAAUGGAUGAAAGUUACCCAUAAUUUUAUGCCCAGCAGGAGAACUACAGAGGGAGGUGGCACACGAGAUUCAACCAGGAGACUGGAUCUGGAUCCAAUCACUAAAAAGAAAAAAAAACUGGAAGCAGCCUCGGUGGGAGGGACCAUUCCAAGUACUACUGGUGACUGCCUUCGCUGUGAGAUUAGCCGAAAGAGCUACCUGGGUACAUAUCACACAUUGUAAGGGGUUAAGUCACACUAGCACUGUCGGACGAUCACAGGAGUAGGAGAGGAACCGUGACCCAUAUGGAACGGGGGUCAAACUCCUUCUGAAGAUUCCCUAUACCCGACCUUUCCCCAGCUGUGAGCGUUCAUAGAAGUGAAGUGAUGGCUUGGCCUCUGGCUGUUGAUAUGUUCUCGGGGAGAGGGUGGGGCUUCACGUGCGCACUGACCGUCCUGAGCUGUUUUAUUGUGGGGGCCAUAUUCCUGAUUCACCAUGAUCCCCCGGAAAGUGCCAAAGAGGAUAAUUUGACUCAUGUGCUAGAUGAGGGAAAUGGGAUGUUACCUAAGAUUCUCAGAAGGUCACUGAAACAAAAUAGUAAGGAAGUGAGGGUGGAAUUGGGCAAGGAUCUCUCAGUAGAAUUUUGUGUAGAUCAAUUGGGGUCAUUCACCCCUUGGCAGUCUAGAACCAUGGGACUCUAUGGGAAGUAUUUGUGUAAAUCACCAUAUUGAUCGUGGACAGGUCAUAGCUCACACUGAAAGGGAUGGCUACGUAAACCCAUACACCCAAUUUGGGACCAGGUGGAGUAUAGUAAGGGUUGGCGUUUUGGACUGUGUUCCUGAACAGAGGAAGUAUUGUAUAAAGGUACGAAUAGUUCAGACCAAAGACCUCAAAGAAGUUAUAGAAGUGGAGACUGGGUUUGGGGAGUCCAACUUAUGGUUGGAAUGGAUUCAAUACGGCCAGAUCAGUGGCUAAAGAAGAAUGUUAUGUCUGUGCGAACGCUAAACCCCAGUUAACAACUAUCCCUUUUCCACUGAACGGAAUUAAUUCCCUAAGGGAAUGGCAUGUAUGGUAAAGCUGUUCAUGAAAGCAGGAAUGCCAGAUAAUGACAGUUGUCACUAUUUAUAUCCCCAGGAACCAAGUUGGUACAGAGAAAAUGACCACUGACGAGACCAUGUCUGAAUUGACAGGCUGGUUGAACUCUGGGGAUUUCAAUGAAAUAAAAUGGGCCAGUGUCGCCAUCUGGUGGUUGUGCGGGGAAUGAGUUUGACUGAUUGGACGGGUUAGGAAUGCCUUUUACACUCAUACAACACCAAGACAUGAAGUUAGCCAAAACGAGAGAGAAGAGAUGCUCCAUCUGGGUCUUUUGACGACAGAGUAUAUAUUGAUAACAUUGGGGUUCCACGAGGUGUGUAAUUAUAGUUAUGGUAAUCAACAGUGCUUUAGCAGGAAUACCAAAGGUGUUAUUAAAGGUUUUGUAGAACAGACUGAAGCAACCAGCUGGAAGACCUGACAGAAUAGAAUUGCAUAGGAUAAAAGGAGGAAGUGGGCGUGGUAAUCAGGACCAUGUCUUACAUCCCAGGUAGCUCAGCUCCGGACGAAUCAGUGCCCGAAGCCUCAGCUGGUUUGACCACCCUGGCUCACGGGUUGGCAGAAACUCUGGGGUGGAUACUUCUCUGAACUAAAUUGGGUAGACAGUAUUUAUGGAAAAAUGUGGUGUUUUGGGCUGUAUCUACCUGUAUGACUGUUUUAAUUUUAUGCUGCUGUUGUCUAAUUCCCUGUGUGCGAGGCCUUGUUUCCAGGACUCUGGAAAAAUCAAUGACCCUACAGAUGGUGCGUUAUGGGCCGAUUCCAGAUUCUGACCUGUGGAGGACUGAAGGCAUGUCUACAGAGGAAGUGGACGAAUCCGGAUCUGUCAUUUGUGGGGAAUUUAUGUUUGAUGAGGCUAGUGUUGAGAUAAAGGGGAAUUAGAUUGUAAUUGGUUUCCAUGAUUAAACUGUUUUUUUAAUGAAGGUCGUGACGAAAAUCCGGAAGGAAGAGUUAUGAUUCUGAUGUAGGUUUAAAAACAGUUGGAGUUAAGGUUAGAAUUGAUUAAUGAAAUGUGAAGAGUUGGAUAAACAUUUAUAAUUGAUUUGUUGAAUUAUUUGUCUAUUCAUAUGAUAAUCUGAUAAACCUCUAUAAAAAGGUUAGUUAAGUUCGUUUAUACUUUCAUUUUUUAUGAUUAAAUAAAACUAGAUGUAGAAUUGAAUGUAUAAUAUUUGAUCAAAGGGAGGAUUGUUAGAGGAAAAUAUAGUUUAGAUGAUCAAUUAUGUAUACAUUAAUGAUUAGAACCAUUUAUGCUAAUACUAUUAUGUUAUGAUUUGAAAAGUAUGGGUUCUUAAUUGUACUGUUACUGAAAAUGUAAGCAGAAAUGAAUUGUGUCUGUGUCUCCUGGGAAAGUUUAAGAAGGAGGGAUAAGAUAGUUUUUCAAACAGAUAAGAAUGUUUUGGUUGGAUUCCAUUAGGGGAGAGAAGUUAUCCUUUAGACAGGUUGGAAUGUAGUUUAUGAGGGGAGUGAAACUAUCUCCAGGACCGAAUACUACGCCAUUGUAAGGCUGGGAGAGGGUGUGAAACUGAUGAUGUCAUUUUAUGUCUUCUUUCUUUAAAAUGUAAUGUUCUUUGUAUUUUGGGUCAGUACUCUCUGGAAUUAAACGCUCUUUACCUGGCUUUUAAGACUG
Molecule: long non-coding RNA, 4544 nt
Organism: Oncorhynchus nerka (sockeye salmon)
Lineage: Eukaryota; Metazoa; Chordata; Actinopteri; Salmoniformes; Salmonidae
Exons: 2
Source: RefSeq, a predicted model, not a curated record